RNAcentral lists this long non-coding RNA (358 nucleotides) under Chinchilla lanigera (long-tailed chinchilla). RNAcentral's name for it is "lncRNA (ENSCLAG00000025174.1)". Lineage: Eukaryota; Metazoa; Chordata; Mammalia; Rodentia; Chinchillidae. The record is from RNAcentral.
GUCUGACUGCAUCUAGGAAGAGAGCAGAUCAAAGCGAGCCAGGAUCACAGUGUUUCCUCUAAGGGAAUCUUGGCCGUCCGCUUCAGCCUGGCCUGCACCCCUGAGAUGAAAGCCGAAGUUUUACAGAGGAAAUGCUAUUUACUGGACAAACAACAGGCAGGACGGAGACAUGCAACCCCCAAACUUAUCCCUCUGACUUCAUCAAUAAUUCAAGCCUGGUCUCCUUUCGGAGGACAGAGAAGAAGCCAGUGUCCAGAGGCACAGUUGACUUCAGAGAGUGUGGGUGCAGCUCCCUCCCCUCCUCGCCGGGCAGCCCAGGCUGGCAGGAACCUGGAUCUAACUGUGUGGAAGACAAUUU